CUCAAUUGGAAUCUCCCUGUCAAACUGCUCCUUUUCGUCUACUUUUUUAGCAUCAUUAGAAUUCUGAACCAGUGGGUCCGCAGCGGCACGAACUUCUUCUGCACUUUCUUCUUGGCUAGCUGAGGUCCCCUUGCUGAAUUCAGCAGAAUGAAAUGAGGCAUCUUCCCCAGCUGGUUUAAUCUCUAUCUUAUUUUCCUCUAGCACAUUCAGAGCAUCUGCAGCGGCAGGAACUUCUUGUGCUACACUUUCUUCUUGGCAAACUAAGAUCGCCUUGCUGAGUUCAGCAGAAUGAAAUGAGGCAUCUUCCCCAGCUGGUUUACUCUCUAUCUUAUUUUCCUCUAGCACAUUCAGUGCAUCCGCAGCGGCAGGAACUUCUUGUGCUACACUUUCUUCUUGACUAGCUGAUGUCGCCUUGCUGAGUUCAGCAGAUUGAGAUGCGGCGUCAGUCCCAGCUGGUUUACUCUCUAUCUUAUUUUCCUCAAGCACAUUCAGUGCAUCUACAGCGGCAGGAACUUCUUGUGCUGCACUUUCUUCUUGGCUAGCUGAGGUGGCCUUGCUGAGUUCAGCAGAAUGAGAUGAGGUGUCAGCCCCAGCUGGUUUGCUCUCAAUCUUAUUUUCCUCAAGAAUAUUCAGUGCAUCUGCAGCGGCAGGAACUUCUUCUGCACUUUCUUCUUUGCUAGCUGAGGUUGCCUUGCUGAGUUCAGCAGAAUGAGAUGAGGCAUCUGUCCCAGCUGGUUCACUCUCGUUCUUAUCCUCCUCAAGCACACUCAAUGGUAGCGUUUUGUUGAGGCUGUUAUCGAGAGGUUUAUCUUCAGCUUCUUGAAUUUCCAUUUUCUCUAUGUUUCCCUCAUCCAUUGUUUCUUCUUU
This 867-nucleotide long non-coding RNA is filed under the name Capsicum annuum. RNAcentral describes it as "long non-coding RNA (CANN_LNC021137)". Lineage: Eukaryota; Viridiplantae; Streptophyta; Magnoliopsida; Solanales; Solanaceae. The record is from RNAcentral.